This 390-nucleotide unclassified non-coding RNA is filed under the name soil metagenome. Its description in RNAcentral is "partial contains 5.8S ribosomal RNA, internal transcribed spacer 2, and large subunit ribosomal RNA". The stretch from base 1 to 122 matches the Rfam family "5.8S ribosomal RNA", at positions 35 to 154 of the family's 154-position model. The record is from RNAcentral.
GAUGAAGAACGUAGUGAAAUGCGAUACUUGGUGUGAAUUGCAGAAUCCCUUGAACCAUCGAGUCUUUGAACGCAAGUUGCGCCCGAAGCCAUUAGGCCGAGGGCACGCCUGCCUGGGCGUCACACGUCGUUGCCCCCCCAUCUACUCCUUCGGGAUUGCGGGGGGCGGAUGAUGGCCUCCCGUGCGCCUCGCCGCGCGGUUGGCAUAAAUGCCAAGUCCUCGGCGACGCACGCCACGACAAUCGGUGGUUGCGAAACCUCGGUUGCCCGUCGUGUGCGGUCGUCGCGCAUCGAGGGCUCGAAAAAAUUGCCGGGUUCCGGCUCGGCUUUCAACGCGACCCCAGGUCAGGCGGGGUUACCCGCUGAAUUUAAGCAUAUCAAUAACGGAGGA